CCUCCCUCCGUAACCGACACGAGGCGCGUAGCCGUGUAGAUAAAAAAUAGAGAUACGAAGAGGGGGGAAACCGCAAUCUUCUCGUCUUCCCCUGUUUCCCCAUCCAUCCCGGUCGCCGAGCCUCCCACCGGCGGCGCGGAGGAGUAAUCGAACCGCCGGUCCUAGCAGGCAGCCAUGGGCGGGCACGGCGGGCUGAACAUCCUGCCGCAGAAGCGGUGGAACGUCUACAACUUCGACAACCGCGAGAAGGUCCGCAACGACGAGGCCGCCGCCGCCCGCGAGGAGCAGCUCCAGCGCGAGGCGGAACGCCGCCGCGAGUCCGACCUCCGCCUCGCCGCACUCCGCCGCAACCGCGGCCUCCUCCAGGCGGACCCGGACUCGCCCUCUGCUCCCCCUCCCCCGGCCGACGCCGCGGGCCCCGCGGCGGAUCCGGCGAGUGACGCCCCGUCCGCCUCCGACGCCGACGGCGACCACAUCAACCUGUUCGCCGGCCGCGCCGACUUCACCGCCCUUGCCUCGCUUAGCGGCGGGAGGGGCGCCGCGCGGGAGCGGGAGCCUGAUGCGAACGCUAAGCCAAACCCUAAGAAGCGCAAGAAGGAGGAGGAGGUCAGGGCGGUGGGGCCCGACGAGGAGAAGUAUAGGCUGGGUUACGGCCUCGCCGGCAAGGGCGUGGCGGUUCCCUGGUACAUGUCGAGUCCGGCGGCUUCAGCGGCCAAGGAGGGGAGUGCCAGAGAUGCAGGGGAAGGGAGCGGGGGGAAGAGGAGUGGAGGGAAGAAGAGCAUCGAGGAGCUGAGGGAGGAGAGGAGGAAGAGGGAGGCCAAGGAGAAGGAGCGCGAGCGUGCCGUGCUGGCUGCUGCGGGGAGGAAGGAGAGGCAGGCAGAUCGGGGGCGCCAGUCAAGAUGGGCUCGGUGAUGUGAGGAUUUUCAUGGUAUAAUGUGCAGGAUUGCAGAGAAUUUUUGUUGAAGGAUAACUCAUGGAACUGGAUAUGACCUGACUAUGUUAUCAAGCAGAUGCAGAUGAUUGCAUGUGGCAGCAAUAAUUACACUGUUCAUUUGCCAAGGAAAGGAUACUCGUGAGCAAUUCAUGAGCAUCUUGAUCAGUAACAGCAAGAUUUCAUUAUUUGUUACAAAUCAUCAAAUCAAUUUAUGUCGGAUUUUCUUUUGUAAAAUACUCAUGGUAAAUGCAGUGAAGCUAGCAGCUCAUGUAACACUGGCAAUGUUUGCUUGUAAAGCUAUUUUCAUUUUCCUGAUGUAAAGAGUUUGUUUGCGGGUUUUUUUUUUGAAAUUUCAUCAAUGUCAGAUAACUUCAACUUGUUGAGUACUAUCAAGAGCAUCCUAAAACAUAUCUGCAAGUUAUGUUGCAUCCUACUGCCAGGAGUGUUGUUUUGUGCACAGUUAGCCACUUCAUGAUGCAUCAGGCAGGCAUCAAGGUUUAGACUGAAGAGCACAAUGGAUAACAUGUGGUAGUUAACUGAGGAGUCUAAGCACCUAAGUCAUGUUCUGAUUGAGCAGUGAGUGUAUGAAGAUGGAUUUGUCAAAUGUGUACUACUUCAUGAUGCAUCAGGCAGGCAUCAAGGUUUAGACUGAAGAGCACAAUGGAUAACAUGUAGUAGUUAACUGAGGAGUCUAAGCACCUAAGUCAUGUUCUGCUUGAGCAGUGAGUGUAUGAAGAUGGAUUUGUCAAAUGUGUACUUCAUCUUUGCUUUGGUCCUGUAUCCUUGUGCAAACAUUACUACCUCUGCCCUGCAAUACAAGGGAAUCUAGCUAGUUAUAUUUCAGGACAGAUGUAGCAUUAUACGUCUGAUUUAACUUCAGCUCUGCUUAUUAA
RNA transcript from Panicum hallii, 1827 nucleotides. It is a transcript of the gene named guanine nucleotide-binding protein G(s) subunit alpha isoforms XLas, with no coding region annotated. Lineage: Eukaryota; Viridiplantae; Streptophyta; Magnoliopsida; Poales; Poaceae. The record is from RefSeq and is a predicted model, not a curated record. The transcript is spliced from 3 exons.